Callithrix jacchus (white-tufted-ear marmoset) is the source of this 149-nucleotide unclassified non-coding RNA. It matches the Rfam family "Metazoan signal recognition particle RNA". Rfam says of the family: The signal recognition particle (SRP) is a universally conserved ribonucleoprotein. It is involved in the co-translational targeting of proteins to membranes. The record is from Ensembl. NCBI's taxonomy places the organism in Eukaryota, Metazoa, Chordata, Mammalia, Primates, Cebidae.
GCUGGGCAUGGUGGCGCGUGCCUGUAAUCCCAGCUACUUGGGAAGCUGAGGCAGGAGAAUUGCUUGAACCCAGGAGACUGAGGUUGUGGUGAGCCGAGAUCGUGACAUUGCACUCCAGCCUGGGUAACAAGAGCAAAACUCUGUCUCAA